This 85-nucleotide small nucleolar RNA is filed under the name Lytechinus pictus (painted urchin). The record is from RNAcentral. RNAcentral also lists the same sequence under 1 other name. Lineage: Eukaryota; Metazoa; Echinodermata; Echinoidea; Temnopleuroida; Toxopneustidae.
CCUUUCAGUGAUGAUGUCAUCUCACUGUUUCGAGUGACAAGCAAUGAGAAAACUUUCUUUUACAUGCACUACCAUCUGAGAUGGG